CAGCCUCUGGCGUAGCUGGGACUACGGAUGCACGCCACCAUGCCUGACGGAGUGCUGGCUGUCCCUCGGAACCUGUGUCUUCACCCAGGUAUUCAUGCUGGCUUCCUGGACCCUUUGUGUCUUUUUCUGCCUGGAAAAGUAGGAAUCCAUGGUGGUGAGUCAUACUUCCUAAUCUAAUCCAGUGCUUUGGACGUUUAUCUGUUGUAAUGUGGUAAUCAGGAGUUACGUUUAUUCUUCCUGGCAAAGUGACUUCUUUAUCCCUUUCUGUGAAGCCUCUGCUGUUUUUUUAUUGGCUUUCUAAACUGGGGGAUUAUGCAUAAGAAUUUUCUUGGCAUCUCAAACAUGGGGAUUGUGUGUGGGAAUUUCCUCAUCUCCUCAAUCACUGGUGAUUGCAUGGGGCAGGGGGUCCACUUGACUCCACCCCAGAAAUUGUCCGUGGGAGUUCUCUGGGAUUUCUGCCGUGGAGAUUAUAUGAAGUGUUCCCUUGGCUCUUCAAUCUUGGCUUAACUAUCUGUUAAUCCCGCGGGGAACUCAUUCUCUCAGAUGCCUUCCCUCCUCUUCUUUCCUGUUUACUACAUGCCUUGCCGCUGGGGCACUGAUUCAGUCUAAUG
Non-coding RNA from Macaca mulatta (Rhesus monkey), 611 nucleotides. Lineage: Eukaryota; Metazoa; Chordata; Mammalia; Primates; Cercopithecidae. The record is from RefSeq and is a predicted model, not a curated record.